Molecule: non-coding RNA, 180 nt
Organism: Pelobates cultripes (western spadefoot toad)
Lineage: Eukaryota; Metazoa; Chordata; Amphibia; Anura; Pelobatidae
Source: the annotation of a GenBank genome assembly
AAGGGUUAGGGGUAGGUGUAGGGUUCGGGUUAGGGGUAGGGGUAGAUUUAGGGAAUUAGGGAAUUUUAACCCCCUCCCCGACCUUCCUCUAACCCUACCCCUAACCCUAACCCUACCAUUAACUCUACCACUAACUCUACCCCUACCCUUAAUCCGAACCCUACCCAUUCCCCUAUCCCU